This 1236-nucleotide long non-coding RNA is filed under the name Vulpes vulpes (red fox). RNAcentral describes it as "lncRNA (ENSVVUG00000017645.1)". The record is from RNAcentral. Lineage: Eukaryota; Metazoa; Chordata; Mammalia; Carnivora; Canidae.
AUGGAAUGUAACAGUGAUACGAAGUUACUUACAGUAUGGAAGGAUGUCAUAAAGGACAGAAAUAAACUAAUAUCUGUUCCUUUAGAAGGCAGAGGAAUAAUACUUCACAACUCUUCGUACUUCAAAGUGACUGGCGGAAAACUUAGGAACUUAGAAAAUUUCUCAAUGGCCUCUGACAAACACUUCAGUUACCAAUUGAGGGGAUUAAGUAGUGCAAACUUCCAAUUAUAAAAUAAAUGUCCUCACCUGAGUUUCAUUCAUCCUCACUUACUUCACAUCCUGAUCCUCAAGUCUGACUUUUGCCAAAAAUCAGAAUGGACCCUGCUUCCUGCUUCCAAAGAUGUUCAUCAACAAAAAUCAUCAAUACCCAAAAAAAAAUCAUCAAUACCCCAUUUAUUUAGCAUUUCCUGUGCACUUGGUAGUGUGGUGAACACUUUAAAAAUAAGUGAGUUAAACCUCCCAAGAAGUCUAUGAAGUAGAUAUCACUGUUCACAUCUGCCCCUUGGCCUUUCCCUUGCAUUGAAACAAGACUUUUAUCUUGGUGCUCACAAUUUAGUGAUAGAGUUUGAGAAGUAAGCAGCCAAGAACAGCACAGAUAGUACAAAGUAUUGACCUUGAUCUCACAUCUUAAUGAUUUAAUGGGACAAAAAUUUAUGCCAUUAUUUAAAUUUAAUUCACUGAAGUUAUGUAGUGCUUAAUAAUUUCUCAGAUGGUGUUGCCUAUAUAAUCUUCCCCAAUCUUCACAGUAACAUUGAGAAGUAAAUAUUGUUAUGACCCCAUUUUCACAGACCAGGGAAGGAGACUCAUAGAUGUUAAGCAACCUACACAAAAACCUAUUAGCAAAUGGCAACUGUAAGAGGUGUCUUACAGGUGAAGGUGGUGUCCCUUCAGAUCCAUGCACUUUGAAUAAUAUAGUGACUCUAUAUAACUAUAUAUACUAACUGUAUAGAUAGUUACCUAUGUAACUAGAUUAACACACACACAUGGUAGCAUGUGUUGUAGUGGUCAAGGCCAAGACGAGCCACUUUGGCAUGAACACUAUUUUGAGCUGAAGGCAAUCAGGAUCCUGCAGGCUCAAGAAAAACUUUUGCCCCUCCCUUAACUACUUAGUAGAAUCUAAAUUGGGCAUCUUUCUCAGAAUAAGAGUUAUUGGCAAAGAUAAUUUUUAUGUAAGUGACCCAUUUGUAUGGCAAGGUAACAUCCAAUUACUGAACAUAUGCUUUUCUUAUUGCCCUG